CCUACGGGGGGCAGCAGUGGGGAAUAUUGGACAAUGGGGGCAACCCUGAUCCAGCCAUGCCGCGUGUGUGAAGAAGGCCCUCGGGUUGUAAAGCACUUUCAGUGAGGAAGAACGCCUGGUGGUUAAUACCCAUCAGGAAAGACAUCACUCACAGAAGAAGCACCGGCUAACUCCGUGCCAGCAGCCGCGGUAAUACGGAGGGUGCGAGCGUUAAUCGGAAUUACUGGGCGUAAAGCGCGCGUAGGUGGCUUGAUAAGCCGGUUGUGAAAGCCCCGGGCUCAACCCGGGAACGGCAUCCGGAACUGUCAAGCUAGAGUGCAGGAGAGGAAGGUAGAAUUCCCGGUGUAGCGGUGAAAUGCGUAGAGAUCGGGAGGAAUACCAGUGGCGAAGGCGGCCUUCUGGACUGACACUGACUCUGAGGUGCGAAAGCGUGGGUAGCAAACAGGAUUAGAUACCCUUGUAGUC
Molecule: ribosomal RNA, 465 nt
Filed under: Vreelandella stevensii
Lineage: Bacteria; Pseudomonadati; Pseudomonadota; Gammaproteobacteria; Oceanospirillales; Halomonadaceae
Description: partial 16S ribosomal RNA
Rfam family: Bacterial small subunit ribosomal RNA
Source: RNAcentral